UACGAAGGGGGCUAGCGUUGCUCGGAAUGACUGGGCGUAAAGGGCGCGUAGGCGGCUUGCACAGUCAGGCGUGAAAUUCCUGGGCUCAACCUGGGGACUGCGCUUGAGACGUGUGGGCUUGAGUGGGGAAGAGGGUCGUGGAAUUCCCAGUGUAGAGGUGAAAUUCGUAGAUAUUGGGAAGAACACCGGUGGCGAAGGCGGCGACCUGGUCCUUGACUGACGCUGAGGCGCGGAAGCGUGGGGAGCAAACAGG
RNAcentral lists this ribosomal RNA (253 nucleotides) under uncultured bacterium. Its description in RNAcentral is "partial 16S ribosomal RNA". It matches the Rfam family "Bacterial small subunit ribosomal RNA", at positions 524 to 776 of the family's 1533-position model. The record is from RNAcentral.